This 292-nucleotide long non-coding RNA is filed under the name Lactuca sativa (garden lettuce). RNAcentral describes it as "long non-coding RNA (LSAT_LNC002031)". The record is from RNAcentral. Lineage: Eukaryota; Viridiplantae; Streptophyta; Magnoliopsida; Asterales; Asteraceae.
GAUGAAGAAUCUUUGCUCCAACAUAUACGUGAUGAUGUCUAGCUACGCGAAGAAUAAACCGUCGGAAGGAAGCACUUCACAGCAAUCACCACCUGAGCCGGAGGCGGCGACGGCGACGACGACGACGAACACCACCACCACCACCAUGACACCGCUAGAUCUGUUACCUCUAAAGCGGUUAGCCGAUGAGUGUUUAGGUCGCGCCGGCGACGAUGGUGAUUACCUAGAAACAACGGAACCCGAUGAGAUGAGCCCGAGAUUAUUCGGUGUGACAAUAGGUGUGAAACGGUCG